Molecule: transfer RNA, 71 nt
Filed under: Chloroflexota bacterium
Lineage: Bacteria; Bacillati; Chloroflexota
Description: Chloroflexi bacterium (groundwater metagenome) tRNA-Gln
Rfam family: tRNA
About the family: Transfer RNA (tRNA) molecules are approximately 80 nucleotides in length. Their secondary structure includes four short double-helical elements and three loops (D, anti-codon, and T loops).
Source: RNAcentral
UGACCGGUGGUGCAGUGGUAGCGCAGGGGGCUCUGGGUCCCCUGACCCUGGUUCGAAUCCGGGCCGGGCAG